Long non-coding RNA from Choloepus didactylus (southern two-toed sloth), 1985 nucleotides. RefSeq lists it as uncharacterized. The record is from RefSeq and is a predicted model, not a curated record. The transcript has 3 exons. Lineage: Eukaryota; Metazoa; Chordata; Mammalia; Pilosa; Megalonychidae.
UGUGUCACCGGAAAGCGGCAGGGGAGCAGGGAACCCGACCCCAGGCGCCGGCAAGGGAGUGCUCGGCGGCGAUGAGCGCCUGGUGGAACACAACGCCACAGCGUGUCCACCGCCACUGCCAGAGCCAGGGGGAGAUUCCAGGUUCAUGGGCACCCCGGGCACCGGCGGGGGUGAGCGGAGAGUGUAGAGGAGCGGCGAGGCCUUAAGCUUCCCGCAGGAGCCUGCUACGCGCUCCCGGGCGCAGGCGCCUGUCGGUGGCGGGGUAGCCCGCGUUGAAGAGAUACCGCACCGCGGCACGCCGCCCGGCUCAGCUGGGCACCGCGGGCAAGGGAGAGGAGCCGCACACGGCCCUGGGAGGUGAUAAACGCGGGGACGCGUGGCCCCAGUUCACAAAGGCUGACGAGGCCGGUGACGCCGGGAAUACGGCAGGCGGCGAGGAGGUGCCGCAGAGACGAGGUGGCGACGAGAGCCCGAGAGCCGCCGGCGGGGUGAUGAGGGAAGCCGCGGACACAGCCGCUCCGCCCGGAAAUCACAGGGGCCUCACCGCCAGGGGCACCGAUCUCCCGAGGGCGUCCCCACCAGGCCUUGGCCACCCGCCGGCCUCUGCCUCCCUAUGACACCCUCCCGGCAGGGAAAACCAGCGGGCCCCGCUGGCUUGCUCGAGUCCCCAAUGUCAGCCCCUCUCCCCACACAGGGGCACACACGGAGCCCGCCCUUUCACUUGGGGAACGUCGCGGGGCUCCGCACCGCGGGCAGCGACCGGCUGGGAGGUGACGCCCAGGCGUUAAGGCUGCCAUCAGUGUCGUUGGAGCAGACGCGUGGCCUCGGGCAAGGAGAAUGGCGAGGCGGCAUGGAGUUGGGAAGAGCCAGGCCGUGAGGACAGGCCCGCGGGAAGGACCUAACGUAGGAUCCGGGACACAGCCGCGAGCCAGGACAAACGGCGCGGCCUGUCCUCCCUGGAGGGGGUGGUCCGGCGGCGCCCGGAACUAGGACUGUCCUCCUGCCUCCUCCUCAGGCCACCCAUGAUCCCCGCACCCUGAUCUGACCCAGUGCCUCCAUAAGGAAGGAAACCGACACUUCUGAAGAGCGUUUAUUUAAUUCAUUUCAUCACAGUGUUAGCAUUGUUUCAUAUUCGUUGUACAUAAAGCUUUUCUGCUGUGCCUAGGGUGCAGAGUCAGCGAAACACCACGCAAUGUGUUACUGAAUUUUUUCCUUUACUCCAUCUAGGAGUCCCUGUACCCCUGGGUGCCCAAUAUACGGCAGGAAAUCCCAGGUUAACAAAAGUCAGUGAAGAACUCUCACUGGGGCUCGACCAGAGGGAGGAGACUGCGUCAGCACAGGCUGCAAAGCGGUUUAGAAUUCUAGCAGGUGCUCGGAAUGCGCAUGCGCAAGUGACGCUGUACCUCCUCUGUGUCACAAAGGGAAUCUGGUUCCUAAGCAACAGACCUCUAGCCCAAUGGCUGCCCUGUGGUCUGAACAUGUAAGGGGCUCCCCAAGUGUGCAGGUCACGGUGGAGGUGCUGUGGCCUGUGAAGUCAGAAGUAGACACGUGAGGAUGAUUCUGCAGCCCUGAGGAUGACAUGCCCGCGGAUGGUUGUCAUUUCCAUUGCCUUUAAGGAAUUCCCUGUUCUGGGAGCCAGCAUACUCUGCUCUGUCAGGGAGUGUGACCCGCAAAUCUGAAACAAGAUUGUAGCCAAGGGAGAAUUCUUCCCUGAAGAAUCCGUUCCUGAGUUUGCUGAUGUCCAAGGGAGGAUGCCCAAGUGGAACUGACGGUGACCAUUCUUCUCAUAGCCCAUGAAGGCAGGUCAGUGUAAUCUCACCCUGAUCUGACCCUGUGCCUUCAUAAGGAUGGAAGCCAAGACUUAGGAGGUGUCUGUUUAUAUAAAUCAUUUCUUCACCAUGUUAACAUUGUUUCACGUUCCUUGUAUUAAAAGAUUGUCUUUAGGAACUGCAAAUUUAUCAGUAAGAAAACAUCAAUUUCUUUUA